AACGAACGCUGGCGGCGUGCUUAACACAUGCAAGUCGAACGGGAAACGUUCCUUCGGGAACCGAGUACAGUGGCGCACGGGUGAGUAACACGUAGGUGACCUACCUAUCGCUGGGGAACAACCCCGGGAAACCGGAGCUAAUUCCGCAUACGCUUUCCAACUCGCGGGUUGGAAAGGAAAGAUGGCCUCUUCAUGAAAGCUAUCGGCGAAUGAUGGGCCUGCGCGUCAUUAGCUUGUUGGUGAGGUAACGGCUCACCAAGGCUGCGAUGACUAGCUGGUCUGAGAGGAUGAUCAGCCACACUGGCACUGGAACACGGGCCAGACUCCUACGGGAGGCAGCAGUGGGGAAUAUUGCGCAAUGGGCGAAAGCCUGACGCAGCAACGCCGCGUGAGUGACGAAGGCCUUCGGGUCGUAAAGCUCUGUCGGGAGGGACGAAACACCGGUGGGAACAAUACCUCGCCGGUUUGACGGUACCUCCAAAGGAAGCACCGGCUAACUCCGUGCCAGCAGCCGCGGUAAUACGGAGGGUGCAAGCGUUGUUCGGAAUUACUGGGCGUAAAGGGCGUGUAGGCGGAUCAAGAAGUCGGGUGUGAAAGCCCUGGGCUCAACCCAGGAAGUGCGCCCGAAACCAUUGGUCUUGAGUUCCAGAGGGGAGCGGGGAAUUCCCAGUGUAGAGGUGACAUUCGUAGAUCUUGGGAAGAACACCGGUGCCGAAGGGGCCGCUCUGGAUGGAUACUGACGCUGAGGCGCGAAAGCAUUGGGGAGCAAAC
This 771-nucleotide ribosomal RNA is filed under the name uncultured organism. RNAcentral describes it as "bacterial SSU rRNA". It matches the Rfam family "Bacterial small subunit ribosomal RNA", at positions 28 to 773 of the family's 1533-position model. The record is from RNAcentral.